AUGGAGGCGCAGACUUCGUCUCCACCAGAUCCUCGGUUGCGGACUCGACGCGAGCGAUGGAGGGCUCUGCAGCGCCUAACUCCUCCUGCGGGAAAAGUCGCGGAAUCGGAGCGAGCGCUGAGGAGCGCCGGCGAGGAAGCCCUGCUCUGGUGGGUUGCGUGUAUCGCGAGCCUCACCUGUGGCCAAGUACGACGUGCUCCAGAGUGGAGUGGUCGACGCCCUCCCCACCUCGCCCGUGACUGGUAUUUCGUCAUCCGUACUCUAUUCGGUUCAGCUCUGUCCGACGCUGCGUGCGCCUUGACGCCGCCACCCUAG
RNAcentral lists this ribosomal RNA (315 nucleotides) under Triticum aestivum (bread wheat). RNAcentral describes it as "partial small subunit ribosomal RNA". Lineage: Eukaryota; Viridiplantae; Streptophyta; Magnoliopsida; Poales; Poaceae. The record is from RNAcentral.